Molecule: ribosomal RNA, 425 nt
Filed under: uncultured bacterium
Lineage: Bacteria
Description: partial 16S ribosomal RNA
Rfam family: Bacterial small subunit ribosomal RNA
Source: RNAcentral
GUAGGGAAUCUUGCGCAAUGGGCGAAAGCCUGACGCAGCCAUGCCGCGUGAAUGAUGAAGGUCUUAGGAUUGUAAAAUUCUUUCACCGGGGACGAUAAUGACGGUACCCGGAGAAGAAGCCCCGGCUAACUUCGUGCCAGCAGCCGCGGUAAUACGAAGGGGGCUAGCGUUGCUCGGAAUUACUGGGCGUAAAGGGAGCGUAGGCGGAUAGUUUAGUCAGAGGUGAAAGCCCAGGGCUCAACCUUGGAAUUGCCUUUGAUACUGGCUAUCUUGAGUAUGGAAGAGGUAUGUGGAACUCCGAGUGUAGAGGUGAAAUUCGUAGACAUUCGGAAGAACACCAGUGGCGAAGGCGACAUACUGGUCCAUUACUGACGCUGAGGCUCGAAAGCGUGGGGAGCAAACAGGAUUAGAUACCCGGGUAGUCC